This 397-nucleotide ribosomal RNA is filed under the name uncultured bacterium. Its description in RNAcentral is "partial 16S ribosomal RNA". It matches the Rfam family "Bacterial small subunit ribosomal RNA", at positions 360 to 774 of the family's 1533-position model. The record is from RNAcentral.
AAUCUUCCACAAUGGACGAAAGUCUGAUGGAGCAACGCCGCGUGAGCGAAGAAGUAUUUCGGUAUGUAAAGCUCUAUCAGCAGGGAAGAAAAUGACGGUACCUGACUAAGAAGCCCCGGCUAACUACGUGCCAGCAGCCGCGGUAAUACGUAGGGGGCAAGCGUUAUCCGGAUUUACUGGGUGUAAAGGGAGCGUAGGUGGCGAGUCAAGUCAGAUGUGAAAGCCCGGGGCUCAACCCCGGGAUUGCAUUUGAAACUGGUUUGCUAGAGUGCAGGAGAGGUAAGUGGAAUUCCUAGUGUAGCGGUGAAAUGCGUAGAUAUUAGGAGGAACACCAGUGGCGAAGGCGGCUUACUGGACUGUAACUGACACUGAGGCUCGAAAGCGUGGGGAGCAAACA